UGGGGAAUCUUGCACAAUGGGGGCAACCCUGAUGCAGCGACGCCGCGUGAGCGAUGAAGCCCUUCGGGGCGUAAAGCUCUUUCGACCGGAACGAUAAUGACGGUACCGGGAGAAGAAGCUACGGCUAACUACGUGCCAGCAACCGCGGUAAUACGUAGGCAGCAAGCGUUGUUCGGAGUUACUGGGCGUAAAGAGUGCGUAGGCGGUUUUCUAAGUUCGGUGUGAAAUCUCCCGGCUUAACUGGGAGGGUGCGCAGAAGACUGGGAAGCUGGAGUGUGGGAAAGGCAGGCGGAAUUCCUGGUGUAGCGGUGAAAUGCGUAGAUAUCAGGAGUAACACCGGCGGUGUAGACGGCUUGCUAGACCAUAACUGACGCUGAGGCACGAAAGCGUGGGUAGCAAACA
This 402-nucleotide ribosomal RNA is filed under the name uncultured bacterium. RNAcentral's name for it is "bacterial SSU rRNA". It matches the Rfam family "Bacterial small subunit ribosomal RNA", at positions 355 to 774 of the family's 1533-position model. The record is from RNAcentral.